Oreochromis aureus is the source of this 867-nucleotide long non-coding RNA. RefSeq lists it as uncharacterized. Lineage: Eukaryota; Metazoa; Chordata; Actinopteri; Cichliformes; Cichlidae. The transcript has 2 exons. The record is from RefSeq and is a predicted model, not a curated record.
CGCAAACAUCAGCUCAUCCUACAGUGACAGAGACCAACGAGAGCACUAAAUUUAACGGCUUUUCAGCUGCUGAUUGAUGGCCUAGAAGCAGGAAACAUGGGCAAGCGUAAGGAUUUGACUGACUUUGACAAGGGCCAAAUUGUGAUGGCUAGACGACUGGGUCAGAGCAUCUCCAAAACUGCAGCUCUUGUGGGGUGUUCCCGGUCUGCAGUGGUCAGUAUCUAUCAGAAGUGGUCCAAGGAGGGAACAGUGGUGAACCAUCGGCAGGGUCAUGGGCGACCGAGGCUGAUUGAUGCAUGUGGGGAGCAAAGGCUGGCCCAUGUGGUCCAAUCCAAUACACGAGCUACUGUAGCUCAAAUUGCCGAAAGAUUUAAUGCUGGUUCUGAUAAAAAGGUGUCAGAAUACACAGUGCAUCGCAGUUUGUUGCGUAUGGGACUUUGAUGCUUUGAGCAAUGUUCUGCUGGGAAACCUCGGGUUCUGCCAUCCAUCCAUUUGGUGUUACUUUCCAGACACUUCUCUGGAUCGUCGAUGAACAUCCCGAGUACACCACCUGUAAGAUAACCUCAGAGCUGAACAGACACCUCUGUCAUAUGGUCUCUGUAAAGGUAUCUUUGCAGAUAUUGGCAUCUUUCGAGGAGCAGCCAAUCAGAAACCAGAGAUAGAAACUGAUUCCCCAAAGUUCGAUAGAAAGAACAGUGAGCCUUACAAAGAAUGUGAUGCAAAGACUCUGUCUGAACCCCAGGGUGUUGUGCACAACACAGAAGAAGCUGAACCUCAAAUCUGAAUGUGAAAAAGGUCACUACUCCCAAAGUUUCAUGACUGGAAUAAAGAACCUGAACCUCAGACUAAUUAAAAGGAAUUACUUCA